AACAAUGUGCGCGACGGCCGUUGGUGUUCGUGCGUGCGUUUGUAUUUUCGGAUGCGGAGAUGGGUGACGGCGGAGAGGCUGCGCUUUCUGUGUGUCUUGGUGCGCGUUUCGACUACUCUGUUGUGCUUGGUGCCUUUGAUUGCCUGGAUUACUUCAGCGAACAUGCAUCACGGAGAUUCACGAAGGCUCGGAACCGACGGUGGGUCUGCAAGCAAGAGAGGACGUAGAGCUGUGACUGGAUGAUGCCAAAAGCAGACAUGGAUGUGCAGCGUCAAGCGACGAUCCAACCAGUGACUACUCACGGUGACCACCAGCGGAUGCUGGCCGCUGGCUUCGCAGGCGAUCUUGGCGAUGUCCCCGCGCUUGACGGACACAUCCGACGACGACUUGCUGAUGCGUGGGGGAACUGCACGGGAAAGAGAUGCAGCCGACGUCUUGAAG
Rhipicephalus sanguineus (brown dog tick) is the source of this 441-nucleotide long non-coding RNA. RefSeq lists it as uncharacterized. NCBI's taxonomy places the organism in Eukaryota, Metazoa, Arthropoda, Arachnida, Ixodida, Ixodidae. The record is from RefSeq and is a predicted model, not a curated record. The transcript is spliced from 3 exons.